RNAcentral lists this ribosomal RNA (492 nucleotides) under uncultured bacterium. Its description in RNAcentral is "partial 16S ribosomal RNA". It matches the Rfam family "Bacterial small subunit ribosomal RNA", at positions 29 to 507 of the family's 1533-position model. The record is from RNAcentral.
AGUGAACGCUGGCGGUAGGCCUAACACAUGCAAGUCGAACGGCAGCACAGUAAGCGCUUGCUCUUACGGGUGGCGAGUGGCGGACGGGUGAGGAAUACAUCGGAAUCUACUUUUUCGUGGGUGACAACGUAGGGACACUUACGCUAAUACCGCAUACGACCUACGGGUUAAAGCAGUGGAUCUUCGGACCUUUCGCGAUUGAAUGAGCCGAUGUCGGAUUAGCUAGUUGGCGGGGUAAAGGCCCACCAAGGCGACGAUCCGUAGCUGGUCUGAGAGGAUGAUCAGCCACACUGGAACUGAGACACGGUCCAGACUCCUACGGGAGGCAGCAGUGGGGAAUAUUGGACAAUGGGCGAAAGCCUGAUGCAGCAAUACCGCGUGGGUGAAGAAGGCCUUCGGGUUGUAAAGCCCUUUUGUUGGGAAAGAAAAGAAGCAGGUUAAUACCCCGAUGUUCUGACGGUACCCAAAGAAUAAGCACCGGCUAACUUCGUG